Molecule: long non-coding RNA, 1046 nt
Organism: Cavia porcellus (domestic guinea pig)
Lineage: Eukaryota; Metazoa; Chordata; Mammalia; Rodentia; Caviidae
Exons: 2
Source: RefSeq, a predicted model, not a curated record
CAGAUUGCUGGCUUAAUUUUUUUUUUUUUUUGUCUUUUUGAGACAGGGUCUCGCUCUGCAGUCCUGGCUGGUCUCGAUCUCCCAGCGAUCCCCCUGCCUCAGCCUCCCGAGUGCUGGGAUGACAAGCGCGUACCUGCAUGCUGGCUCAGAUUUGCUUUUGAUUCCUGCACUCGAUUCCUUUGCAUUUGCCUCUGCCUACUGUACAGGGCUGGAACCCCACGGCUGCCACCACCACAUGUGUGUGUCAGGGAGAGACAGGCAGAGUCCAGGCUAAAGGGGAAGUGAUUUGGGGGACUCGGACCCACUACUUUCCCACCAGUCUCCGGAGCGCCACCCUGCAGACCGCGUAAGGACACCGGCUCCCCCUAGCGGCCAAGAGGCCGUUGCUUUUGCAGCUCAAAUCCGCGGAGCAUUGGAUCUCAGCCGGGGUUCUGGGCAGCGUCGCUGUCCUCAGGCCUCCAGUGGACACCCCACUCGCCCUGGAGGACGAGCAGGGACCUGAGCCCACGACACUCUCUCCCUCCAGACCAGACGUCCACUGGAGCACGGGGAAGGGCGGGAGGCCGGGCCAUCCACACCUGCUGGUCACAGCGGCCCAGAGCCCCUGGAGGACCAGGAAGCCUUCUCUGCCGCCACCCUCCAAGCCUCUUGGCUUCAAUUUAUCAUCAAGUCCCUAAACCAGUUCCAAGUCCCACUGUGUGGCUUCGGUGGCACGGGACAUGUUUCUCAGCACCGCAGUGCACGUCUGUGGAGUCCAUGCUGUCCCUCCUGAGCCCAGCAUCCUCCCCGCCCGCUCUGGGAGAGCAUUUCUGAGGGAAUGUGAAGAAACAGUGCUGGGAGUCAAACUCGGGGCCUUGGACCCAUGAGGAACAGCAAGGAGCUCCACUGCUUUAAAAAUUCCAGAUCUGGGGGCUGGCGAUAUAGCUCAGUGGCACAAGUGCCUGUCUGGCAAGCAUAAGGUCCUGAGUUCAACUUCUGAUACCAAAAUAAAUAUCCCAGAUCCCUCUGGGUGAAUGAUUUGGGGAUGUUGUCCCCUGAUUGAUGUA